AAAAUCCGUCGAUUUUUAAAAUCGUGAGGGUUCAAGUCCCUCUAUCCCC
Molecule: transfer RNA, 49 nt
Filed under: Campanula caespitosa
Lineage: Eukaryota; Viridiplantae; Streptophyta; Magnoliopsida; Asterales; Campanulaceae
Also listed under: 6 other names
Description: partial tRNA-Leu
Source: RNAcentral